Molecule: long non-coding RNA, 361 nt
Organism: Dufourea novaeangliae
Lineage: Eukaryota; Metazoa; Arthropoda; Insecta; Hymenoptera; Halictidae
Exons: 3
Source: RefSeq, a predicted model, not a curated record
GUCAGCUGAUACGUCAAGCUCACACGUUCUAAUAACUGUACGAAAAACAUUCGACACAGAAUUAUAUACACGAAACGUGUAACAAACGGGGAAAUUAGAAGUACCAAGGAAUUUUAUUUCAUAACCCCAACAAAAGUUAUUCACUACAUCAAUACAAUUCUGUCCGUUUUAACAGUUACAUUUGCCUCAUUACCAAACAAUGAGGGAUUUGCAUAUAAUUUUAUGAAUUUACUGUGGUAAAAAUUUUCAGUACUUUUGGUCUUUACAUGGAACGAAUGGACACAUCUUCAAAUUUGUCUAAUGAAAGCCUGAAAUACCAAUAUACAUCUGUACCAUCUGUGAGAAACCUGACAACACGAAC